Sphaerodactylus townsendi is the source of this 1341-nucleotide long non-coding RNA. RefSeq lists it as uncharacterized. The transcript is spliced from 4 exons. Lineage: Eukaryota; Metazoa; Chordata; Lepidosauria; Squamata; Sphaerodactylidae. The record is from RefSeq and is a predicted model, not a curated record.
UUCCCCGGGAAGGGCGAGAAGAAGGGACUACGGGGCUACUCGGCGGAUGGGACGGGGGCAAAGGAGGCCGGCGGGAUUGCCCUGCGGGGUUUACGCCAGUCGCCCUGAACAUCUGGAGCAGCCGGGCGCGCGUCCCCGGAGCUGGCCCGGGGAAGGGCACCCCCGCGCUGCGGCGGCCAAGCCCCUUCCUGCCCACGCCUUGGAGAGGUGGCUACUGCCGAGCGGUGUCGGGCAAAGAGCCAAGGCGCGUCCCUCCCCUCCGUCCGCCGCUCUCCCACCCAAGGAGGGGGAGGGAGGCAGGCUGCCCAUUCUGCCCUCCCUCCUUCCCUCGGCGGGGAGGAGGCGCGUCCGGGUGCCAGAAGCGCCUGCCCGUGGAGAGGGCGCGGCCUGGCCGGGAGGCCGCCUGGAGCGGAGCGUGUUCCCCCCUGGUGCGCGCGCGGCCUCCGGGGGCCCCUGCUCGGGGAAAGGCUUGACCUACUUCGGCCUCUCCUGGGUCGGGCAGGUGGAGGGCCUGGCGCCGCAAGCCCUGCUUGGGACCUCCCGCCCGGCAGGCGCCUCCGGGAAAAACGCGCCCGCGCUCUGCUGCUCUUCGGGAAAGCCCAGCGGCACCUUCAGGACUCCAGCCGGGUCCAGUAAAGGGUCCGAAUCGUCCUCCCCUCGGUCCAUUUUUCAUUAAGCGACCCACGGUGAUCUCUGGACGGGUCCAGACCACACACCCGCAGGGCACAAAACCCUGGCGACACUUCUUGGACCCGUUCCGGCUGCCCUUUGGGUCCGACCAGAUGGAUCCAGUUCUGAGAACUGAGGGCCUGUUCAUAAGAGCUUGGAUGUAGCACUUAUGGAUGUGAAGUAUCAGUUCCAUAGUCCCAAUCUUACCUUGGUUAUGACCUAACCAGCAGGACUCUAAAGAGGGGACAUAGAAAUAUGAAUAAAUAUUGAAAUAUUGAAUGCUAAGAGAUUUGAACACUAACCCCAACUAUAUUAAUUAUUAUACACGAUUGUUACAUCUGGAACAAUGAGGACAAGAGCUCGAUCAGUAUGUGCCCUGGGUAAGCUUGCUUGUAUAUUAUUAAUUGUAAGAGCCCCACGCUCUUCAGUUAAUCUGGUCUGCAACAGGGAAAGGAAGGCCCACAGCUCACUUGCUUAUUUUUUUUACCAAGUUGAAGAAAGACCGUCAGCAGCUGCAGCCUAUGCAGAAGAACAGAUGGGAUAAAGAAAGCUUGCAUUGUUUGGACUUUCGCACUUUUCUUUAUUUACUGGGCACUGUUAGUAAUUGAAACUGUUUUGAGUGCUUUUCGUGAAAAGCACUGAAGAUUUUGUAUAAUUGAGUUGUGCUACAUA